CCAGGAAUCUUGGGCAAUGGGCGAAAGCCUGACACAGCAACACCGUGUGGGCGAUGAAGGCUCUAGGGUCGUAAAGCCCUGUUGAUAGGGACGAAGGGCGAAGGGUUAAUAGCCCCUAGCUUGACGGUACCUUUCGAGGAAGCCCCGGCUCACUACGUGCCAGCAGCCGCGGUAAUACGUAGGGGGCGAGCGUUGUCCGGAAUUAUUGGGCGUAAAGAGCGUGUAGGUGGUUCGGUAAGUCUGCUGUGAAAUCUUGGGGCUCAACCCUGAGCGUGCAGCGGAUACUGCCGGGCUAGAGGGUUGUAGAGGCGAGUGGAAUGCCGAGUGUAGCGGUGAAAUGCGCAGAUAGUCGGGGGAACACCAGUAGCGAAGGCGGCUCGCUGGGCCACACCAGACGCUGAGACGCGAAAGCGUGGGGAGCGAACAGG
RNAcentral lists this ribosomal RNA (428 nucleotides) under Bacillota bacterium. RNAcentral describes it as "Firmicutes bacterium partial 16S ribosomal RNA". It matches the Rfam family "Bacterial small subunit ribosomal RNA", at positions 355 to 776 of the family's 1533-position model. The record is from RNAcentral. Lineage: Bacteria; Bacillati; Bacillota.